This 315-nucleotide ribosomal RNA is filed under the name uncultured fungus. RNAcentral's name for it is "eukaryotic LSU rRNA". The stretch from base 1 to 71 matches the Rfam family "5.8S ribosomal RNA", at positions 84 to 154 of the family's 154-position model. The record is from RNAcentral. Lineage: Eukaryota; Fungi.
GUGAAUCAUCGAAUCUUUGAACGCACCUUGCACUCUUUGGUAUUCCGAAGAGUAUGUCUGUUUGAGUGUCAUGAAACUCUCAACCCCCCUAUUUUGUAAUGAAAUGGGCGUGGGCUUGGAUUAUGGUUGUCUGUCGGCGUAAUUGCCGGCUCAACUGAAAUACACGAGCAACCCUAUUUAAAUAAACGGUUUGACUUGGCGUAAUAAUUAUUUCGCUAAGGACGUUUUCUUAAAAUAUAAGAGGUGCUACUAAUUCGCUAUUAUAGCAUUUAAGCUUUAGACCUCAAAUCAGUCAGGACUACCCGCUGAACUUAA